This 167-nucleotide non-coding RNA is filed under the name bovine gut metagenome. RNAcentral's name for it is "glmS glucosamine-6-phosphate activated ribozyme". It matches the Rfam family "glmS glucosamine-6-phosphate activated ribozyme aptamer", at positions 7 to 151 of the family's 167-position model. Rfam says of the family: This entry contains a glucosamine-6-phosphate activated ribozyme that is found in the mRNA for GlmS. GlmS is an enzyme that uses fructose-6-phosphate and glutamine to generate glucosamine-6-phosphate. The record is from RNAcentral.
GUUAAAAGCGCCUGAGCCGUUCUGUCGGAAUGAAAUAUGCUGUAUGAUGACCGCAGAAUGGCUGACGAGGGUGGAAGUUUAUCGAGUUUUUCGGCGGAUGCUUCCCGGCUUCACAGAGAAGCUGCAUAUCGGCAUACAAAAUCUUCGGGCAACCGGAGAACAGAAGU